AUGGGUUCAGCUGCCAGGCACGGCGAAAUGAGCUUCCAUCCACGUGGAGUAGGCGCGGAGGCCCCUUCCCCGCCUGGGCCCCGCCGCGCAGGAUGGGCGCUCGGCUCCGGCGCCUGGGCUGUGCACUCCGCGUGGGCGGGAGGCCUAAACGGACGACCUUGGGCUCCGGAAAGCUGGCCUGCGCACUCAGGUCACCCUGUCCUGUUUACCGGAGCAGCUCCGGGAUUUGAUGUGUCUGAUACAUCUCGGUCAUCCUUCAUGAAGGACUCUUCCCCCCCAAGACUAAGUUAAGACUUUUUUAUUAUAACACAACACUCCCUGUAUUUCCCUUUCCCAGUGCUUAACUAUGCAUUCUAAUUACAUAAUUUUGCGGUUUUUAUUAUUUAUGCCCAUCUCCUUCACAGUGGAAGAGGACAAGGACAAGAGAUUAUGUGUAGGAUUUUUUUUUGAUAAUGCAUUUCAUCCACUUAGCAGGUAUUCAAUCUAAUUGACAUAUUUUGAAUGAAUGAUUAUUAAGAAUUUGAUGGCCCAGAAUUAGUGGCUAGGCUAAAUAAAAAUGAGGGGUAGAAAAUACAAAAUGGCACCAAAUUUUUUUUUUCUGUACCUAGAAAGUGAAAUCAGGAAUAUUCAGAGUAGACUGAAUUUUCUGUGUAAUGAUUGAGCUCAGCUCUACAAAGACUGUCCUUGGGGGCUAAGUAGACAUUCAAAUGGAUGUGUACCUUUGGGGUAAUAAUCCCAGAGAUUAAAAGCCUAAAGGCAUGCAGUUAGGGUCUAAAUAUAAAGGUUCAGUGGGAGUGGGAUCUGUGCAUCCCAUAAAUGUCUGUUAAAAAUACAGAUCCCUGCACUCUGACUUCACGCAGUGAAGCAGAAUCUCUGGUGGAACCCAAGUAGUUGCAUUUUUAUGUAUUCCUUGGGUGAUUCUACUGUAGACCAGAAGUUUUAGAAUCAGUUCUUAGACAUCAAAAAAUUUGGUUAAUUCUCAGAAAAAUAUUUAAUGCAUUGUAUUCAUUUUCUUCCAUUGCCUUGUAGGAUACUGGGUGGAUUUAAAGGAACAAAUCAAAAGACAUUAAUUCCUGUUCACUGAG
This 1085-nucleotide long non-coding RNA is filed under the name Fukomys damarensis (Damara mole-rat). Its description in RNAcentral is "lncRNA (ENSFDAG00000025169.1)". The record is from RNAcentral. Lineage: Eukaryota; Metazoa; Chordata; Mammalia; Rodentia; Bathyergidae.